AGAACGAACGUUGGCGGCGUGGAUUAGGCAUGCAAGUCGAGGGAAUCCCAGCAAUGGGGGAACCGGCGUAAGGGGCAGUAAGGCAUGGGUACCUACCCCGGGGUCUGGGAUAGCCGUCCGAGAGGGCGGGUAAUACCGGAUGACGUGGUGACACCAAAGGUCCGCCGCCCUGGGCGGGGCCCAUGUGGUAUUAGCUAGUUGGUGGGGUAACGGCCCACCAAGGCGGAGAUGCCUAGCGGGUGUGAGAGCACGACCCGCGCCACUGGCACUGAGACACUGGCCAGACACCUACGGGUGGCUGCAGUCGAGGAUCUUCGGCAAUGGGGGCAACCCUGACCGAGCGACGCCGCGUGUGCGAUGAAGGCCUUCGGGUGUAAGCCCUUUGUACGGGAGAAAGCUUUCGGUUAAUAACCGGGAGUCAUGACGGUACCGUAAGAAUAAGCACCGGCUAACUUCGUGCCAGCAGCCGC
RNAcentral lists this ribosomal RNA (470 nucleotides) under uncultured bacterium. RNAcentral's name for it is "SSU rRNA". It matches the Rfam family "Bacterial small subunit ribosomal RNA", at positions 26 to 518 of the family's 1533-position model. The record is from RNAcentral.